Molecule: ribosomal RNA, 490 nt
Filed under: uncultured bacterium
Lineage: Bacteria
Description: partial 16S ribosomal RNA
Rfam family: Bacterial small subunit ribosomal RNA
Source: RNAcentral
AUUGAACGCUGGCGGCAUGCCUUACACAUGCAAGUCAAACGGCAGCAUGAUCUAGCUUGCUAGAUUGAUGGCGAGUGGCGAACGGGUGAGUAAUACAUCGGAACGUGCCCUGUAGUGGGGGAUAACUAGUCGAAAGAUUAGCUAAUACCGCAUACGACCUGAGGGUGAAAGUGGGGGACCGCAAGGCCUCAUGCUAUAGGAGCGGCCGAUGUCUGAUUAGCUAGUUGGUGAGGUAAAGGCUCACCAAGGCGACGAUCAGUAGCUGGUCUGAGAGGACGAUCAGCCACACUGGGACUGAGACACGGCCCAGACUCCUACGGGAGGCAGCAGUGGGGAAUUUUGGACAAUGGGCGAAAGCCUGAUCCAGCAAUGCCGCGUGUGUGAAGAAGGCCUUCGGGUUGUAAAGCACUUUUGUCCGGAAAGAAAUGGCUCUGGUUAAUACCUGGGGUCGAUGACGGUACCGGAAGAAUAAGGACCGGCUAACUACGUG